Molecule: ribosomal RNA, 482 nt
Filed under: uncultured bacterium
Lineage: Bacteria
Description: partial 16S ribosomal RNA
Rfam family: Bacterial small subunit ribosomal RNA
Source: RNAcentral
AUUGAACGCUGGCGGCAUGCUUUACACAUGCAAGUCGAACGGUAACAGGCCGCAAGGUGCUGACGAGUGGCGAACGGGUGAGUAAUGCAUCGGAACGUGCCCAGUCGUGGGGGAUAACUACUCGAAAGAGUAGCUAAUACCGCAUACGAUCUAUGGAUGAAAGCGGGGGACCGUAAGGCCUCGCGCGAUUGGAGCGGCCGAUGUCAGAUUAGGUAGUUGGUGGGGUAAAGGCUCACCAAGCCAACGAUCUGUAGCUGGUCUGAGAGGACGACCAGCCACACUGGGACUGAGACACGGCCCAGACUCCUACGGGAGGCAGCAGUGGGGAAUUUUGGACAAUGGGCGCAAGCCUGAUCCAGCAAUGCCGCGUGCAGGAAGAAGGCCUUCGGGUUGUAAACUGCUUUUGUACGGGACGAAACGGCUCUGGUUAAUACCCGGGGCUAAUGACGGUACCGUAAGAAUAAGCACCGGCUAACUACGUG